RNAcentral lists this transfer RNA (83 nucleotides) under Treponema sp. RNAcentral's name for it is "tRNA-Leu". It matches the Rfam family "tRNA". Rfam says of the family: Transfer RNA (tRNA) molecules are approximately 80 nucleotides in length. Their secondary structure includes four short double-helical elements and three loops (D, anti-codon, and T loops). Further hydrogen bonds mediate the characteristic L-shaped molecular structure. tRNAs have two regions of fundamental functional importance: the anti-codon, which is responsible for specific mRNA codon recognition, and the 3' end, to which the tRNAs corresponding amino acid is attached (by aminoacyl-tRNA synthetases). tRNAs cope with the degeneracy of the genetic code in two manners: having more than one tRNA (with a specific anti-codon) for a particular amino acid; and 'wobble' base-pairing, i.e. permitting non-standard base-pairing at the 3rd anti-codon position. Lineage: Bacteria; Pseudomonadati; Spirochaetota; Spirochaetia; Treponematales; Treponemataceae. RNAcentral also lists the same sequence under 1 other name. The record is from RNAcentral.
GCCGGGAUGGUGGAAUGGUAGACACAAGGGACUUAAAAUCCCUCGGCUGCAAAGCCGUGCCAGUUCAAGUCUGGUUCCCGGCA